RNAcentral lists this ribosomal RNA (490 nucleotides) under uncultured bacterium. RNAcentral describes it as "partial 16S ribosomal RNA". It matches the Rfam family "Bacterial small subunit ribosomal RNA", at positions 30 to 507 of the family's 1533-position model. The record is from RNAcentral.
AUUGAACGCUGGCGGCAGGCCUAACACAUGCAAGUCGAACGGUAACAGGAAGCAGCUUGCUGCUUUGCUGACGAGUGGCGGGCGGGUGAGUAAUGUCUGGGAAACUGCCUGAUGGAGGGGGAUAACUACUGGAAACGGUAGCUAAUACCGCAUAAUGUCGCAAGACCAAAGAGGGGGACCUUCGGGCCUCUUGCCAUCGGAUGUGCCCAGAUGGGAUUAGCUAGUAGGUGGGGUAAAGGCUCACCUAGGCGACGAUCCCUAGCUGGUCUGAGAGGAUGACCAGCCACACUGGAACUGAGACACGGUCCAGACUCCUACGGGAGGCAGCAGUGGGGAAUAUUGCACAAUGGGCGCAAGCCUGAUGCAGCCAUGCCGCGUGUAUGAAGAAGGCCUUCGGGUUGUAAAGUACUUUCAGCGGGGAGGAAGGGAGUAAAGUUAAUACCUUUGCUCAUUGACGUUACCCGCAGAAGAAGCACCGGCUAACUCCGUG